GUCGUGGUAGCUCAGUCGGGUGAGCGCCCGUUACUCACGCCAGAGAUGCGGGUUCAAAUCCCGGCGCUGACA
Molecule: transfer RNA, 72 nt
Filed under: Plutella xylostella (diamondback moth)
Lineage: Eukaryota; Metazoa; Arthropoda; Insecta; Lepidoptera; Plutellidae
Description: tRNA-Ser
Source: RNAcentral